CUGGAGGGACGGAGAAGGCUAGGCCAGCUUGGCGUUGGUUGUCCAAGUUUAAGGUGGUAGGCUUAAAUCUUAGGUAAAUCCGGGAUUUUUUAAGGCCGAGAGCUGAUGACGAGUUAUCUUUUAGAUGACGAAGUGGUUGAUGCCAUGCUUCCAGGAAAAGCUUCUAAGCUUCAGGUAACUAGGAACCGUACCCCAAACCGACACAGGUGGUUGGGUAGAGAAUACCAAGGCGCUUGAGAGAACUCGGGUGAAGGAACUAGGCAAAAUGGCACCGUAACUUCGGGAGAAGGUGCGCCGGUGAGGGUGAAGUAUUUACUACGUAAGCCCAUGCCGGUCGAAGAUACCAGGCCGCUGCGACUGUUUAUUAAAAACACAGCACUCUGCAAACACGAAAGUGGACGUAUAGGGUGUGACGCCUGCCCGGUGCCGGAAGGUUAAUUGAUGGGGUUAGCUAACGCGAAGCUCUUGAUCGAAGCCCCGGUAAACGGCGGCCGUAACUAUAACGGUCCUAAGGUAGCGAAAUUCCUUGUCGGGUAAGUUCCGACCUGCACGAAUGGCGUAACGAUGGCGGCGCUGUCUCCACCCGAGACUCAGUGAAAUUGAAACCGCUGUGAAGAUGCAGUGUAUCCGCGGCUAGACGGAAAGACCCCGUGAACCUUUACUAUAGCUUUGCACUGGACUUUGAAUUUGCUUGUGUAGGAUAGGUGGGAGGCUUUGAAGCGUGGACGCUAGUCUGCGUGGAGCCAAUCUUGAAAUACCACCCUGGCAACUUUGAGGUUCUAACUCUGGUCCGUUAUCCGGAUCGAGGACAGUGUAUGGUGGGUAGUUUGACUGGGGCGGUCUCCUCUUAAAGAGUAACGGAGGAGUACGAAGGUGCGCUCAGACCGGUCGGAAAUCGGUCGUAGAGUAUAAAGGCAAAAGCGCGCUUGACUGCGAGACAGACACGUCGAGCAGGUACGAAAGUAGGUCUUAGUGAUCCGGUGGUUCUGUAUGGAAGGGCCAUCGCUCAACGGAUAAAAGGUACUCCGGAUAACAGGCUGAUACCGCCCAAGAGUUCAUAUCGACGGCGGUGUUUGGCACCUGAUGUCGGCUCAUCACAUCCUGGGGCUGAAGCCGGUCCCAAGGGUAUGGCUGUUCGCCAUUUAAAGUGGUACGCGAGCUGGGUUUAGAACGUCGUGAGACAGUUCGGUCCCUAUCUGCCGUGGACGUUUGAGAUUUGAGAGGGGCUGCUCCUAGUACGAGAGGACCGGAGUGGACGAACCUCUGGUGUUCCGGUUGUCACGCCAGUGGCAUUGCCGGGUAGCUAUGUUCGGGAAAGAUAACCGCUGAAAGCAUCUAAGCGGGAAACUUGCCUCGAGAUGAGAUCUCACUGGAACCUUGAGUUCCCUAAAGGGCCGUCGAAGACUACGACGUUGAUAGGCUGGGUGUGUAAGCGCUGUGAGGCGUUGAGCUAACCAAUACUAAUUGCCCGUGAGGCUUGACC
This 1483-nucleotide ribosomal RNA is filed under the name metagenome. Its description in RNAcentral is "bacterial LSU rRNA". It matches the Rfam family "Bacterial large subunit ribosomal RNA", at positions 1464 to 2925 of the family's 2925-position model. The record is from RNAcentral.